AGCUGUAUGCUGUAGUGGUAAGGAGCAGGGCUAGUAACCGAAAGGUUGCUGGUUCGAUUCCUUGCUGCUGUUG
Megalops atlanticus (tarpon) is the source of this 73-nucleotide non-coding RNA. Lineage: Eukaryota; Metazoa; Chordata; Actinopteri; Elopiformes; Megalopidae. The record is from the annotation of a GenBank genome assembly.